CCUAGUGACAAUAGCGGAGAGGAAACACCCGUUCCCAUUCCGAACACGGAAGUUAAGCUCUCCAGCGCCGAUG
This 73-nucleotide ribosomal RNA is filed under the name Parageobacillus thermoglucosidasius. Lineage: Bacteria; Bacillati; Bacillota; Bacilli; Caryophanales; Anoxybacillaceae. The record is from RNAcentral.